RNAcentral lists this ribosomal RNA (581 nucleotides) under Nakaseomyces uthaithaninus. Its description in RNAcentral is "eukaryotic LSU rRNA". It matches the Rfam family "Eukaryotic large subunit ribosomal RNA", at positions 62 to 648 of the family's 3401-position model. Lineage: Eukaryota; Fungi; Ascomycota; Saccharomycetes; Saccharomycetales; Saccharomycetaceae. The record is from RNAcentral.
AAACCAACUGGGAUUGCCUUAGUAACGGCGAGUGAAGCGGCAAAAGCUCAAAUUUGAAAUCUGGUACCUUUGGUGCCCGAGUUGUAAUUUGGAGAGUACCACUUUGGGACUAUACUUUGCCUAUGUUCCUUGGAACAGGACGUCAUGGAGGGUGAGAAUCCCGUAUGGCGAGGGUGUUAGUUCUUUGUAAAGGGUGCUCGAAGAGUCGAGUUGUUUGGGAAUGCAGCUCUAAGUGGGUGGUAAAUUCCAUCUAAAGCUAAAUACAGGCGAGAGACCGAUAGCGAACAAGUACAGUGAUGGAAAGAUGAAAAGAACUUUGAAAAGAGAGUGAAAAAGUACGUGAAAUUGUUGAAAGGGAAGGGCAUUUGAUCAGACAUGGUGUUUUGCGCCCCUCGCUCCUUGUGGGUGGGGGACUCUCGCAGCUCACUGGGCCAGCAUCAGUUUUUGCGGCAGGACAAAACCUUUGGAAUGUAGCUGUUCACUUCGGUGCGCAGUGUUAUAGCCAUUGGGAAUACUGCCAGCGGGGACUGAGGACUGCGAUACUUGUUAUCUAGGAUGCUGGCAUAAUGGUUAUAUGCCGC